Molecule: ribosomal RNA, 253 nt
Filed under: uncultured bacterium
Lineage: Bacteria
Description: partial 16S ribosomal RNA
Rfam family: Bacterial small subunit ribosomal RNA
Source: RNAcentral
UACAGAGGGGGCAAGCGUUGUUCGGAAUUACUGGGCGUAAAGGGCGCGUAGGCGGCCUUCUAAGUCGAACGUGAAAUCCCCGGGCUCAACCCGGGAACUGCGUCCGAUACUGGAAGGCUUGAAUCCGGGAGAGGGAUGUGGAAUUCCAGGUGUAGCGGUGAAAUGCGUAGAUAUCAGGAGGAACACCGGUGGCGAAGGCGGGUCUCUGGGCCGAUACUGACGCUGAGGAGCGAAAGCGUGGGGAGCGAACAGG